This 400-nucleotide ribosomal RNA is filed under the name uncultured bacterium. RNAcentral describes it as "bacterial SSU rRNA". It matches the Rfam family "Bacterial small subunit ribosomal RNA", at positions 355 to 773 of the family's 1533-position model. The record is from RNAcentral.
UAGGGAAUAUUAGUAAUGGAGGAAACUCUGAACUAGCGAUACCGCGUGCGCGAAGAAGGCCUUCGGGUUGUAAAGCGCUUUUUGAGAGGAUGAGGAAGGACGGUACUCUCAGAAUAAGUCUCGGCUAACUACGUGCCAGCAGCCGCGGUAACACGUAGGAGGCAAACGUUAUCCGGAUUUACUGGGCGUAAAGCGCGUGUAGGUGGUACUGUAAGUAGGGCGUGAAAGCUCCUGGCUCAACUGGGAGAGGCCGUUCUAAACUGCAGCACUCGAGUUUGGUAGAGGAAGAUGGAAUUCCAGGUGUAGCGGUAAAAUGCGCAGAUAUCUGGAGGAACACCAGUGGCGAAAGCGGUCUUCUAGCCAAUACUGACACUCAGACGCGAAAGCUAGGGUAGCAAAC